CCUACGGGUGGCAGCAGUGAGGAAUAUUGGUCAAUGGGCGGGAGCCUGAACCAGCCAAGUAGCGUGAAGGAUGACAGUCCUAUGGGUUUUAAACUUCUUUUAUAAGGGAAUAAAGUGCCCCACGUGUGGGGUUUUGUAUGUACCUUAUGAAUAAGCAUCGGCUAAUUCCGUGCCAGCAGCCGCGGUAAUACGGAAGAUCCGGGCGUUAUCCGGAUUUAGUGGGGUUAACGGGUGGGUAGGCGGUUCCUAAAGUCGGUGGUAAAAUCUAGCGCCUAAACCGUACCGUGCAGUUGAAACUGUGGUUCUUGAGUAUGCGGAAGGUAGGUGGAAUUCGUGGUGUAGCGGUGAAAUGCUUAGAGAUCACGAAGAACGCCGAUUGCGAAGGCAUUGUGCUGGAGCAAAACUGACGCUGAGGCUCGAAAGCGUGGGUAUCAAACAGGAUUAGAUACCCGUGUAGUC
RNAcentral lists this ribosomal RNA (459 nucleotides) under uncultured bacterium. RNAcentral describes it as "partial 16S ribosomal RNA". It matches the Rfam family "Bacterial small subunit ribosomal RNA", at positions 338 to 795 of the family's 1533-position model. The record is from RNAcentral.